CUGUCCUCGGACGAUUUCGACUACCUUCGAUUGCUUUCGACUGUAAGCAGGGCCGUCUCGCAUUAUGUCUAAUACGGGUGGGAAUUUUCCCGCUGUUAGAAACAAACAAAUGUCCUUACGAAUCUUAUAAAUACUUUCAAUAGAGAGGCUCGUCCCCUUACGGUCCCCAGAGGGAAGGAUGGCUAUUCGAAUCAACUCGAUCUUCGAGGAACAGAAUUUACGAAGGAAGUGGCUAUGCGAAUCUACAGGCACUGAAGAAGCGCGGGAGAAUUUAUUUUCUCAGAAGUGUAGCGUGGCCUCGGUACAGUCUCUGCCGUUACCGGUUGAAUAAUUUCAUCCUUCCGUCCCAAGAUAAACCUACGCUCCAGCAUGAAUGUGACCAAACAUAUUACCAACAUCAAGUUAGAGUUUUAAUGAUGAAAAUAUUUAUUUUUUUUCAUUUAAUAUGUUUCUAUGAAAAUAUUAUGGAUUAUUUUUGUUGUAAAAUAAUAAAAGAAAAAUGAGAUAUAAUAAAAUAUGAGUAUUACAGAAUUCCAAAUGAAAUCAAUUGUAACCAAAAUUGAAGAAAGCUUAUUAAUUUUGAUGAAUGAAUAAUCUGGAAAUAUUUACAUUUACUUUGCAAAAUACGAGACAAAACUAUUGGUCUUCUUUCGAAGUUUUGAGUUAGAUAUUCGAAUGCAAAAUUAUAAUUGAUCCUAGAAUGUUUAAAAAGAUAAAUUUUUGAAAGAGCAAAAGCAAAAUGAAGAUCUUUUAAAUAUAGUGCCACACGUAUAAGAGUGCUUUGGAAAGGAAUUAUUUUGCAAGCAGUAUCACUUACAAAAUUCGUGCAUCGAGAGUCUUUUACUCUAAAUACAAAUACUCGCUCUGAAUUUUGUGAGUAAUUGUCUAAGGAGUAAGUAAUUUUUUUUAAGUAAAUUAUCGAGCAUGUUAACAAGAAUAAAAGCUUGAAGAAUCGAAGCAUAAUAUAUAUAUGUAUGUGUCUAUGUAUAUAUAUAUACACAUAUAUAUAUAUAUAUAUAAUAUAUAUAUAUAUGAUCUAGAAAUCAGAAUUAAAAAUUGGCUGGUCCAAUGUAAUGUAUCGCAGCCAGAUGUAACACGAGCACUAUACCAAAGGCUGAUACCAAAUGCUCUUGACGUUCAACUGUGUGUCACAGGGACAUUUCAAAUUGUCAGUGUGGCUUUUCUUGCAUCGCAUUCCUUUGAUUAAUUGUUACAUUUCUAUCAAUAAGAGAUUUUCUGUGCCACACAGUCAUAAUAAAUCAAUAUAUUGUUUAUUGCAUAAUUAAACAAUGCGUAAUUUAAAUAAAUAUUUUUUGAAUUUUUAUACAAAAAUAGAAAUUAAAUGAAUCCGUUCACUCUCGUUAUCGCGCAUUGAUAACUACUUUUUCAAGCUUCAAUUAGCAGUGCAUUAAAGAAAUAGUGCUUAAUGAAGAUUAAAAAAAAAGAAACAAGAAAAUCGAUUACCUCUAUCAACUUACCGGGAACUUGCUUUUUGGGAAAUCUUUUUAAUCAGAAACAUUUGGAAAUUGAUAUCAUGGAGAAUAUUUAACCAAUCCCGUGCUGUUAAGAAAUAAAAGCUUGGAAUUGAUUGAUAUUUCAAGGUCGAGGACAUCUUUUUAUCUUUCUACAUCGUAUAAUCAUCCUGGUAUCAAAUAAUAACUACUACUUACAAUAGUCUUUCUGUAUAAGAAUGAAGACUCUAUAAAAUUUUUCAAUUUAUAAAAAUGACAUUGUAUUUUUGAUUUUGCAUUAAUUUAUAUCAAAUAUUAGCAUUGAGAAUUAAAUUUAUAAGAAAUAGCAUUAUAACAAAAUUAUCAAACCAAUACAAAUUAUUAAAUUAUACUAAUAAAAUAAAUUAUUCUAAUUAAUGUCUGUUUUUUAAUAUUAAUAUUACAUACAUAAAAACAAAUGAAUAUCGUAAAAGAUGAAUUGCUUUCGUUUGUUUAUGAUACAUUAAAACGUGUUUUUUUAAAAAGUCUCAGUCUAACAAUCUAAUUGAAAAACAAUUUAUCAGCGGCACGCAUUCAUAUGCACAGCAAGAUUACAAAAUUGGACUUCUGAUCGACGCACUUUAUACGCGACAUUAAAUGCAUACGCUUCUAAUAUACUCUACUGAUUGGGUCUGAUUGUCGACCGUAAUAAAGUUCAACUUUAUGCAAAAGAAUAAUUUUCUUGUUAAGCAUGUGAACUUAAAACUUCAAGAUAAUAUUUCGAAUAUAUGAUAAGAAAAAAUGUAAGAAUAUUAUUUAUAAGAUGAAUAUAUAUAUAUAUAGAUAUGUAAGAUAUGGAAUAUAUCAUGUGAAUUCCUACAACAUAAAAAAAAAAAUAAAUAUAUAACGUAUAAUAUAACGUAAAAAAAAUAGGCUUUCGUCCAAUUAGACGAUGUAUUCAACAUUUGUAAAAAAAAAAAA
This is a long non-coding RNA of Apis mellifera (honey bee), 2411 nucleotides long. RefSeq lists it as uncharacterized. The record is from RefSeq and is a predicted model, not a curated record. The transcript is spliced from 2 exons. NCBI's taxonomy places the organism in Eukaryota, Metazoa, Arthropoda, Insecta, Hymenoptera, Apidae.